RNAcentral lists this ribosomal RNA (433 nucleotides) under uncultured bacterium. RNAcentral's name for it is "partial 16S ribosomal RNA". It matches the Rfam family "Bacterial small subunit ribosomal RNA", at positions 29 to 507 of the family's 1533-position model. The record is from RNAcentral.
AACGAACGCUGGCGGCAGGCCUAACACAUGCAAGUCGAGCGGACCCUUCGGGGUUAGCGGCGGACGGGUGAGUAACGCGUGGGAACGUGCCCUUUGCUUCGGAAUAGCCCUGGGAAACUGGGAGUAAUACCGGAUACGCCCUUUUGGGGAAAGAUUUAUCGGCGAAGGAUCGGGCCGCGUUGGAUUAGGUAGUUGGUGGGGUAAUGGCCUACCAAGCCGACGAUCCAUAGCUGGUUUGAGAGGAUGAUCAGCCACACUGGGACUGAGACACGGCCCAGACUCCUACGGGAGGCAGCAGUGGGGAAUCUUAGACAAUGGGGGAAACCCUGAUCUAGCCAUGCCGCGUGAGCGAUGAAGGCCUUAGGGUUGUAAAGCUCUUUCACCGGGGAAGAUAAUGACGGUACCCGGAGAAGAAGCCCCGGCUAACUCCGUG